AGAAUCAACGCUGGCGGCGUGCCUAACACAUGCAAGUCGAUCGAGAAAGUGGAGCAAUCCAUGAGUAAAGAGGCGCACGGGUGAGUAACACGUGACUAACCUACCUUCGAGUGGGGAAUAACCUGGGGAAACCCGGGCUAAUACCGCAUAAUACCUUCGGGUCAAAGGAGCAAUUCGCUUAAGGAGGGGGUCGCGGCCGAUUAGUUAGUUGGCGGGGUAAUGGCCCACCAAGACUGUGAUCGGUAU
RNAcentral lists this ribosomal RNA (246 nucleotides) under uncultured bacterium. RNAcentral's name for it is "partial small subunit ribosomal RNA". It matches the Rfam family "Bacterial small subunit ribosomal RNA", at positions 26 to 286 of the family's 1533-position model. The record is from RNAcentral.